UGGGGAAUCUUCUGCAAUGGACGAAAGUCUGACGGAGCAACGCCGCGUGAGUGAUGACGGCCUUCGGGUUGUAAAGCUCUGUUAAUCGGGACGAAAGGCCUUCUUGCGAACAGUUAGAAGGAUUGACGGUACCGGAAUAGAAAGCCACGGCUAACUACGUGCCAGCAGCCGCGGUAAUACGUAGGUGGCAAGCGUUGUCCGGAAUUAUUGGGCGUAAAGCGCGCGCAGGCGGAUCAGUCAGUCUGUCUUAAAAGUUCGGGGCUUAACCCCGUGAUGGGAUGGAAACUGCUGAUCUAGAGUAUCGGAGAGGAAAGUGGAAUUCCUAGUGUAGCGGUGAAAUGCGUAGAUAUUAGGAAGAACACCAGUGGCGAAGGCGACUUUCUGGACGAAAACUGACGCUGAGGCGCGAAAGCCAGGGGAGCGAACGGGAUUAGAUACCCCGGUAGUCCUGGCCGUAAACGAUGGGUACUAGGUGUAGGAGGUAUCGACCCCUUCUGUGCCGGAGUUAACGCAAUAAGUACCCCGCCUGGGGAGUACGACCGCAAGGUUG
RNAcentral lists this ribosomal RNA (550 nucleotides) under uncultured bacterium. Its description in RNAcentral is "bacterial SSU rRNA". It matches the Rfam family "Bacterial small subunit ribosomal RNA", at positions 355 to 896 of the family's 1533-position model. The record is from RNAcentral.